RNAcentral lists this ribosomal RNA (254 nucleotides) under uncultured bacterium. RNAcentral describes it as "partial 16S ribosomal RNA". It matches the Rfam family "Bacterial small subunit ribosomal RNA", at positions 524 to 776 of the family's 1533-position model. The record is from RNAcentral.
UACGUAGGUGGCAAGCGUUGUCCGGAUUUAUUGGGUUUAAAGGGUGCGUAGGCGGUUCUGUAAGUCAGUGGUGAAAUACUCUAGCUUAACUAGAGGGGUGCCAAUGAUACUGCAGAACUUGAGUACAGAUGAGGUAGGCGGAAUUGACGGUGUAGCGGUGAAAAUGCAUAGAUAUCGUCAAGAACACCGAUAGCGAAGGCAGCUUACUGGGCUGUAACUGACGCUGAUGCACGAAAGUGUGGGGAUCAAACAGG